Uranotaenia lowii is the source of this 769-nucleotide long non-coding RNA. RefSeq lists it as uncharacterized. NCBI's taxonomy places the organism in Eukaryota, Metazoa, Arthropoda, Insecta, Diptera, Culicidae. The record is from RefSeq and is a predicted model, not a curated record. The transcript is spliced from 3 exons.
AUUUUGCUAGUUUUGAGCAUAACAAUUUUUUCGUGUAUGAGUUUUGUUUUUGUGCAGCCCGCCAUUUUGGCCAAAAUAAUAUUUUUGUUCCGCUGACAAUUUUAUUGUGAAAACGACGUGAUUUUUAGCAGUUCCGCGGCGCCGCUUCUACAGCGAAAAUGGGCGGAGGCAUUUGCGACUACUUGGGUACGAUGACAGAUUGGCCACAAGAAUCUAUCAAAAACCACCCCAAACCAGUUGCUUCACUGGUUCACACCCAUUGCAGUAUGAGGACAACGAUUCCGGUAAUUUUCCGAGUGACAAAGCUAUUGGGGGUGCUGGAACUUCGUCCGAGCUUCCUCCACCAAUUCGUUCGCCACCAGUUCCGGAAACGGUAUUCAAACUUAUUGUUAUAGACAACCUGGUUGCAUACCUGUGUCCACGGAAAUAAGCUAUGUAAACGCCGUAGUAAAAAAUCAUCUGUCUUCACUAAAGGAAUUCUCAAUCUGGAUGAUAUGCUGGAACGGAAUGGAACGGAUGAUAUGCUGGAACGAAACAAGCGGGCUCCUGAAAAGUAUUGCCUCGACGUACUAAUGUGGCAAUGAGCAUCAUGGAGUGUGUCUCAUACUCUGUGUACAUCAAUAUUGUUAAUGUGGACAAAUUAUACUGUAACCGAGCGUCGGGAACCAGUAAUUCGAACUCCAGGUUUGGAUCAGAUUGGGCAGCCUAUUUGCGACAGUUCUUGGUUCAGAAAUCUCCCGUCAAUGCAAAACAGUCAGUUUUGCAACAG